GGGGAUGUAGCUCAGAUGGUAGAGCGCUCGCCUUAGCAUGUGAGAGGUACGGGGAUAGGUACCCCGCUUUCCAA
Molecule: transfer RNA, 74 nt
Filed under: Ipomoea nil (Japanese morning glory)
Lineage: Eukaryota; Viridiplantae; Streptophyta; Magnoliopsida; Solanales; Convolvulaceae
Rfam family: tRNA
About the family: Transfer RNA (tRNA) molecules are approximately 80 nucleotides in length. Their secondary structure includes four short double-helical elements and three loops (D, anti-codon, and T loops). Further hydrogen bonds mediate the characteristic L-shaped molecular structure. tRNAs have two regions of fundamental functional importance: the anti-codon, which is responsible for specific mRNA codon recognition, and the 3' end, to which the tRNAs corresponding amino acid is attached (by aminoacyl-tRNA synthetases). tRNAs cope with the degeneracy of the genetic code in two manners: having more than one tRNA (with a specific anti-codon) for a particular amino acid; and 'wobble' base-pairing, i.e. permitting non-standard base-pairing at the 3rd anti-codon position.
Source: Rfam by way of RNAcentral